RNAcentral lists this ribosomal RNA (491 nucleotides) under uncultured bacterium. Its description in RNAcentral is "partial 16S ribosomal RNA". It matches the Rfam family "Bacterial small subunit ribosomal RNA", at positions 29 to 506 of the family's 1533-position model. The record is from RNAcentral.
AGUGAACGCUGGCGGUAGGCCUAACACAUGCAAGUCGAACGGCAGCACAGUAAGAGCUUGCUCUUACGGGUGGCGAGUGGCGGACGGGUGAGGAAUACAUCGGAAUCUACUUUUUCGUGGGGGAUAACGUAGGGAAACUUACGCUAAUACCGCAUACGACCUACGGGUGAAAGCAGGGGAUCUUCGGACCUUGCGCGAUUGAAUGAGCCGAUGUCGGAUUAGCUAGUUGGCGGGGUAAAGGCCCACCAAGGCGACGAUCCGUAGCUGGUCUGAGAGGAUGAAAAGCCACACGGGAAUGGAGAAAGGGGCCAAAACCCCAGGGGAGGCAGAAGUGGGGAAAUUUGGAAAAGGGGGGAAAGCCUGAUCCAGCCAUACCGGGUGGGGGAAGAAGGCCUUGGGGUUGAAAAGCCCUUUUGUUGGGAAAAAAAAGCAGCAGGUUAAUACCCCGCUGUUUUGACGGUACCAAAAGAAUAAGCACCGGCUAACUUCGU